GGCGAGUGGCGAACGGGUGAGUAAUACAUCGGAACGUGCCCAGUCGUGGGGGAUAACUACGCGAAAGCGUAGCUAAUACCGCAUACGAACUCUGGUUGAAAGCGGGGGAUCGCAAGACCUCGCGCGAUUGGAGCGGCCGAUGGCAGAUUAGGUAGUUGGUUGGGUAAAGGCUCACCAAGCCGACGAUCUGUAGCUGGUCUGAGAGGACGACCAGCCACACUGGGGCUGAGACACGGCCCAGACUCCUACGGGAGGCAGCAGUGGGGAAUUUUGGACAAUGGGCGCAAGCCUGAUCCAGCCAUUCCGCGUGCAGGAUGAAGGCCCUCGGGUUGUAAACUGCUUUUGUACGGAACGAAAAGCGCUGAGUUAAUACCUCGGCGUCAUGACGGUACCGCAAGAAUAAGCACCGGCUAACUACGUGCCAGCAGCCGCGGUAAUACGUAGGGUGCAAGCGUUA
Molecule: ribosomal RNA, 457 nt
Filed under: uncultured bacterium
Lineage: Bacteria
Description: bacterial SSU rRNA
Rfam family: Bacterial small subunit ribosomal RNA
Source: RNAcentral